Molecule: ribosomal RNA, 254 nt
Filed under: uncultured bacterium
Lineage: Bacteria
Description: partial 16S ribosomal RNA
Rfam family: Bacterial small subunit ribosomal RNA
Source: RNAcentral
UACGAAGGUGGCUAGCGUUGUUCGGAAUUACUGGGCGUAAAGCGCGCGUAGGCGGCUUUGCAAGCCAGAGGUGAAAUGCCUGAGCUCAACUUAGGAAUUGCCUUUGGGACUGCGAGGCUUUGAGGACUGGAGAGGUGAGUGGAAUUCCCAGUGUAGAGGUGAAAUUCGUAGAUAUUGGGAAGAACACCGGUGGCGAAGGCGGCUCACUGGCCAGUUUCUGACGCUGCAGCGCGAAAGCGUGGGGAUCAAACAGG